UGCCAGCCGCCGCGGUAAUACGAAGGGGGCUAGCGUUGUUCGGAAUUACUGGGCGUAAAGCGCACGUAGGCGGAUCGUUAAGUGAGGGGUGAAAUCCCAGGGCUCAACCCUGGAACUGCCUUUCAUACUGGCGAUCUUGAGUUCGAGAGAGGUGAGUGGAAUUCCGAGUGUAGAGGUGAAAUUCGUAGAUAUUCGGUGGAACACCAGUGGCGAAGGCGGCUAACUGGACUGAUACUGACGCUGAGGUGCGAAAGUGUGGGGAGCAAACAGGAUUAGAUA
This 279-nucleotide ribosomal RNA is filed under the name uncultured bacterium. Its description in RNAcentral is "partial 16S ribosomal RNA". It matches the Rfam family "Bacterial small subunit ribosomal RNA", at positions 506 to 784 of the family's 1533-position model. The record is from RNAcentral.